This 1471-nucleotide long non-coding RNA is filed under the name Homo sapiens (human). Its description in RNAcentral is "HSALNT0309223". The record is from RNAcentral. Lineage: Eukaryota; Metazoa; Chordata; Mammalia; Primates; Hominidae.
CAUUGGCGUCUAUGCUAGAUGAAGGGUGCUUCCAGACCAAGUUCGUUUCUAGAACUUUUGAGGAAACUAGCUUUGGAGUCAGACAGACCUCUUCAGUAUGAUCUUGGAUCUGCCCAUGCUGAGUCCAUACAUACAGAAUGCCUUUUUCACCAUCUUGCUUGAUUGGUUCUCUGCUAAACUCGGUUCCUAGAUGCUGGCAAUGCCAGGAUGGAUGAAUUACUUUCCUUGGCCCGGAGAGCCUCACCGUCUAGAAAGAGAUACAGACGUGCAAAUAAUUGCAAGAGAUUCCUCCAGGCAGCUGAGUGCACCUUCUGCAUACCUUUGAUAUCUAAUAUUCAAGUCAUAUCCCAGCCCUUGCUCCCCACAAGCAGACAGAACCAAGAAUUCUUCAACCUCUUCUGUCCUGAGACCCUGCCUGGGGCUCUCCUGAUUCUCUCAGCCACCAAGCUCACCUCCCAGUCUGUACUUUGGGCUUUUCCUCUCUCUGCAGGUAUGAAGUGGUCUACUCUGUUGCCGCAUCUUGUCUUGGGCUCUAUUAGGGGCUGAACCAUGUCCCCCACAAUCAAUCCUGAGUACCUCUGAAUGUAACCAUAUUUGGAGAUAAGAUCUUUAACGAGGUGAUUAAGUCAAAAUGAGGCCUUUAGGGUGGGGACCUAAUCCAAUAUGACUGGUGUCCUUACAAAAGAAGAGCCACCCGGGAUGCAUGCCUGCAUCACACACAGAAAAGGCCAUGUGGGGACGCAGGGAGAAGGCGGCCGGCUGCAAGCCAAGGAGAGAGGUCUCGGGAGAAACCAACACUGCCAAAAUCUUGAUCUUGGACUUCUAGCCUCCAGAACUGUGAGAAGGGUUUCUGGCUGAUAAAGGUAUAUAGGAGGUUCUGAAAUGUUAUUGAGUGAAUGAAUAAAUUAGCACUAGAAAAAAAGCAUGGACUUUGGAAGAGGACCAGAAUUUAAAACCAGACUAGAAGUGUAGAGUUGGGGGAACUCAACCCAUUUCCCACCACUUCCAUCGACCUCCUGUGGCAUCCUAAUGUUCAGAAGGAGAAGAACAUUCUAGAAGGAGAACAAAAUUCUAUCAGCAAGAAGUAUAAUACUCUUGUGCCAAAGGUGUGCACAAUCAGCCAAGUGACCUGAGAAAUGCAAGUCCUGGCUCUAUUGAGGUCAUCAAGGAGAAAGCAAGCCGCUGGCAAGUCAGGAAUCUGUCUCAAAGUAAACAUGUGGCUUGUGACCUUGAGGAUGUGCGUAUGUUUAUUGUUGGGGCAGUUGCUUUUUCCUUAUCUCUCACCAGCUCUCAAAAGACCUGUUUAAGUUUUCUGUAAGAGGAUAUAUCUCAUGUGCAGUUGCAAAUAUGCUUCUUUAUUCUUCUCUGGCUAAUAAUUAUCAAAGUUACAGUCAUGAAUAUUCACCUUCUCAGGCUGCUCUGUCAGAGAUUUUUCUGGGUGGGCAUGGUGGUUCACACCUGUAAUUCCAGC